Molecule: unclassified non-coding RNA, 207 nt
Filed under: uncultured fungus
Lineage: Eukaryota; Fungi
Description: sequence contains ITS1
Source: RNAcentral
GUACAUAAGUGCUUGCGCACGACAAUAAUUUCAUUCCAUUCGAGUGUGUGUGUAAAAAUCCUCUGCCAGCCGAAGCUAGCAAGAGGCCAAAGGUUCACAGGGUAGUAGUGGAUGAAAGCCACCAACGUGCACUUGCUCGCGAGAGCCAGCACCGAAGGUAACCAUUCGCAAUCAUUAAUGAUCCUUCCGCAGGUUCACCUACGGAAA